AGGGUUAGGGUUAUGUUUGUAUCAUCGUUGUCGUUUGUCGUUUCAUUUCAUUGUUUGUUUGUCCUAGUAUUUUGCCUUUUUUGGAUUCAUUUGGAUUUUGUUGGCUGUUUUGUGUGUAUUUUUUAAAACUUCUGUUUGUCAUUUGUAAAUUUUAUAAAUUUACCACAAUGCAAAGUGAUUAUUUAAGGAAAUUAUUAAUGGAAACUCCGCAGAUGUUUUAGAAAGAUAUUCAUUGAAGCUGAAAAUAAUUGGAGAUUUAGAUCCAUAUACAAUUCAGUCAUCAGAAUUGGAUUUUACAGUGCAUUCCAUCAAUUACUGUUAUAAUGCUAUUAUAGAUAGACUGGUAGAGUCUCACAGUUACUGCUUUAAGCAGCAGAUGAAAGCAUACAAAAGCCUUCAGGCACAUAAAAGCCUUCACAACUGGAUUUGUUUUGAAACAUUGAUGUUUUGAUGAUUUCUAUAUUAUUGUUGGAAAGGUGAAAAAUUCCCAAAAAGCUAAUGCUAAACCGCUAGAUGCUUCGGUGAAUAGCCAGUUCCAAUGGCAUAGCAAAUGCACAUUGUAUGUGUAUGGCCAGUAAUAGUGAAAUUUGCAGCCAUAUUGCAGCAAUCUUAUUUGCAGCUGAGUAUGCCCACAGCAAGACAGAAGAAGAAGAACCCAAUGCAUGUACAGAUGUUACAGCUAUGUACAUUCUCUGGUGAAAAACUAAUGAGUUUUCAAGCUGUUCGGUCAGAGUGCUUGUUGCGCUCUCUAAACGAACUGAAAUAUAAGACGGCUUUGGCUUCAUGUUGCAGUGAUAUGAAAAUGGUUAGUCAUUUUUAAUUAUAAUGUACUUCUUCAUCAUGAGUAUUUAUGUAUAGGGUUUUUCAUUCACAGUCAUUUGUUUCGAGCUUCUGUCAUGUGUCACAUAAUAUUAAUAUUAUAUCUACGUCAUACGUUAUUGGUAUAUAUCAAUGAUACACACCAAAGACAUAUGGCAUAGAUAUAUUAAUAUUAUGUGACACAUGACAGAUGCUCGAAACAAAUGACAGUCGAUAAAAAGCCCUAUUAGUCUUUUAAGUGUGUAUUAUCAGAUAUCACAUGUAAAUUGUUUUUAUCAUGUUAAUUUGGUCAUUACAGUCCCUUAAUCAAAAAAUAUAUUUUUCAGGUGUCUGUGGAUCUUUUUGUAUGCAAAAAUUUGUAAUAAUUAUUUGAAAUCAUUUUGAGGAUUAUUAGAGUAUGAAAAUAUAUGUGAGAACACAUACUAUUAGGUAUAGUUUUGUCCUAUUUUUUAUCAUUCAAUAGUCUUCUUAAAAUUUAUAAAUAUAAAGCAGAUAGUUUUCAUUGAAAUUCAAUGUAGUGGGUCUUAUUUGUAUGUAUUCAUUUUUGACUAAAGGUACGAUUCCGAUAACGACUGCAGACAGCAACUGCAAACAUCAGUUGCAGUUCUCGGCGUUAUGGACGUUACUACUUUGCACUAUUUAUCUGUAUGAGACUUAUUCCGACAUCUGACUGCAACUGCUGUCUGGCAGAACGUCAGUUGCUAAUAAUUAUGCAAAUUAUUAGUGCAAAAUAAUGACGUCUGUCAUGGUGACAACUGUAACUGCCAUCUGCAGUCGUUGUCGGAAUCGUACCUUUAAAGUGUGUGGUAUAAUUAUAAUAAUUAUAUAUAUUUAUAUAUAUUUAUAAUUUGUUAAUAAAUGAUUUAUUAGUU
Molecule: long non-coding RNA, 1691 nt
Organism: Diabrotica virgifera virgifera (western corn rootworm)
Lineage: Eukaryota; Metazoa; Arthropoda; Insecta; Coleoptera; Chrysomelidae
Exons: 3
Source: RefSeq, a predicted model, not a curated record